AUAUUGCACAAUGGAGGAACCUCUGAUGCAGCGCCGCCGCGUGAGUGAAGAAGGGCUUCGGAUCGUAAAACUCUGUCCUGGGCGAAGAAAGAAAUGAGGGUAGCCAAGGGGGAAGCGCCGGCUAACUACGGUCCAGCAGCCGCGGUAAUACGUAGGGGGCGAGCGUUGUCCGGAUUUACUGGGCGUAAAGGGUGAGUAGGCGGUGAUAUGUGUCAGAUGUAAAAGGCUAUGGCUUAACUAUAGUUAGCAUUUGAAACUGUAUUACUUGAGUGCAGGAGAGGUAAGUGGAAUUCCUAGUGUAGCGGUGAAAUGCGUAGAUAUUAGGAGGAACACCAGUGGCGAAGGCGACUUACUGGACUGUAACUGACGCUGAGUCACGAAAGCGUGGGUAGCAAACAGG
Molecule: ribosomal RNA, 400 nt
Filed under: uncultured bacterium
Lineage: Bacteria
Description: partial 16S ribosomal RNA
Rfam family: Bacterial small subunit ribosomal RNA
Source: RNAcentral